This is a long non-coding RNA of Hypanus sabinus (Atlantic stingray), 5049 nucleotides long. RefSeq lists it as uncharacterized. The record is from RefSeq and is a predicted model, not a curated record. NCBI's taxonomy places the organism in Eukaryota, Metazoa, Chordata, Chondrichthyes, Myliobatiformes, Dasyatidae. The transcript is spliced from 2 exons.
CCUCCGCUCCACUCCGCGCGCCCGCGCCACUCAAUGGAGCCGCUGCGCGGUUGGCGCCUGACUGCGCAUGCUCUGGCUAUGCCGCCCGCCCAGAUCCUCGGCCGCAGGUUGAGCAAGCCAGGGGGAAGGCUCGCGUUCGGGCAGCGCAGCGAGAAACUCUAGGGCCGCUUCGGGGACGAAGCGCGGAAUGCGGCCCCCGAGAUCGGACACAGUUACCGACCGAAUGAGGACAGGGCAUCGGCGUCAGCAGGCUGAGCAGACCGCGCUCCCGAGCGGCGUCACUGGAAAAGCCUCAAAAUGGCGACGGUGGCAGGGAGCCCGCCCGCUCGCCGCCACCGUCCCCCCACCCCCCCGGCUCUCUCCUUCCCGCUUUCGGGCGGCAAAUGACGGACCAGUGGUGAGAUGCUGCCUGACUUGCUGAGUUCUUCCAACAUUUUGUGGUGUGUUGACUGUUAUACUGAUUCACUGAAGGCAAUACUGGCUUCCAACACUCCAGUGAGAUGGCUCCUAGUCUCAUCGUGGACAUUGAUUGUUAGAAGAUAGUGUUGUACAGAAGACCAGGUUGGUAGUCUUUCUGACAUUUAGUGUAAGGCAUAUUCUCUUGUAUGCUUCUGCAAAGGAAUUGACAACUACUUGACGCUUAGCCUGUGAACAUACAAAUACAUAAAAAUUGAAAUCCAAAAUGUAGCUCAGUAGUUGAAGUUGAGGUGACCUUGGCACUGGAAUAGAAGUUGUGCAGCUUAAUCAGUUUACCAUUUUUCCUGUGGAUUAAUCUCAAUCCAUUGGAAAGCUUAUUGCAGGUGAGGUGUAGCAUUGUAUCAACAAACACUACAAGAAGUUUUGGGAUGAUGAGGCAACCUUUAAUGAUACUGGUGUACCCUGUGAUUGGGUCUAUGAUGCUUAAAGUAAUGGCAUGGAUGUGAUCAAGAAACAGAUAUGAAAUAGAGAAUUUUUGUAGACGACAAAAUUUGAGAAGAAUGGUCCAUCUUGAUUGAAGAAGCAAAUAUAUGAGUAACAUGAGAGUGUAGAGGUUAACGUAAUGCUUUAUAGCACCAGCCAUCAGGGUUCAAUUCCCACUGCUUUUUGUAAGCAAUUCUCCCCUUGACCGUGUGGGUUUCCUCCAGGUGCUCCAGUUUCCUGUCACGUGGUUAGGGUUAGUGUGUUGGCACUUGCAGGCUGCCCUCUGCAUAAUCUUUGGACUGUGUUUGUCGUUGAUGUGAACAGCACAUUUCACUGUAUGUUUCAAUGUACAUGUGACAAAUAAAGCUAAUCUUCUAAGUACUUGAAAAGUGAUAAAAGGCCAAAUAUAGUGCUUCUUGCUGAUUCUUGCAUUCCUCUUGGAGUUGAUGCAUUGUGAAUAUCAUGUCCACUGGAUGGACAGAAUCCACUCUACAACUUGGGAGCAGCUCUGUGGCUGUGUGGAGUAGAUGGUCGAGUAGGGUCCUGCUGAUAUUUUUCACUGUGGCCAGGAAGGCCAUUCUGGUCAUUUCCUUUCUUGAAGAUGGUCAAGAUUAUGAUGUGGCUGCUAUUGAAUGUUGGCACUGAGGUCUAGCACUUGGUAUUAGCAACGUGAGUUGAUGCAGACACUGGUGCCAGCAGUAAUGGUUGUUGUUGGGGCCAAUUCCUGAACAUUGACUCAACCCCUGGAGGCCCAGACCUAGCAUUGAGGGGGCAUUGUAGCAUAGUGGUUAGCACACUGCUUUACAGCACCAUUGAUCACUGAUUGGGGUUCAAUUCAUGCCACUGCCUGAGUUUGUAUGUUCCCCCUGUGACCCCUCGUGGGUUUUCUCUGGGUGCUCCUGUUUCCUCUCACAUUCCAAAGAUGUAUGGUUAGUGAGUUCUGGGCAUGCUACGUUGAUAAUGGAAGCGUGGCAACACUUGUGGCCUGCCCAGCACAAUCCUCACUGAUUUGAUUUGACACAAACGAUGCAUUUCACUGCAUAUUUUGAAGUGCUAACCCUUAACUGAUAGUACAGAAGACUGGUAAGCCUGCAGAGUGACUAUUGAUACCAAGUAGUGCUGCUCAGUAGAAUGGCAUGAAUCACUAACAGAGGCACUGUGCAUUUGUUGGUGCUUAUUAAUGCAACUACACAUGAUACUGGAAGAUUACUUGUACCUAGAAUGGGUUAUCCAGGCUCUUCCAAUCCCUCUCAGAAACUUAACAUGCCACUUUGACAUCACUUCUCUUUUUAACACGAAUGGGUAUAAGACAUUCAUUUCUCACCAAGUAUAACUGAAGAUUCCCAUUCAUUUGUGCUCUAGAGCCCUAACCGUAAUUGUUGCUGUGCCUGAGUGUUUGUCUUUAGCAUUUCAUGCACCAGGUUCCUACUGCAUACCAACAUUUACUAGCUUCUUAUAAUUUAAAAAAUUAUUCUGCUUCUCUUCUCUACCCAUCAGAGUAGAUAAACUCUAGACAUGAGAGACCGCAAAUGCUGGAAUCCUGAUGCAGGGUCUCUACCCAAAACAUCAGUUAUCCUUUUCCUUCUGCAGGUAAUGCUUGAUCUGCUGAGUUUCUCCAGGAGUUUGUUCCGUGCUCCAAAAUUAAUAUCUUCUUUUUCCCACAUUAUAUGUCUAUCACUAUCUUGAUCACAUGCUUAACUAUUCAACAUCUUUUUGCGGCCACUGUGCAGGAUCUUCACACUCCACGUUCCUGGUCAGAUUAAUGUCAUCAGAAGAGUAGAAUAGUCUAAACGGUGGCCUUCAAAUUCACUUGCAUGGCACAACAUAUGUGUAUGCUGCAUUUUACUAUAACAUCAUUGUUAAAUACAAUUUUACGUGCCAGCAGACCUAAGAUUUUGUGCAUAAUAAAGUUUCAUUGGUGAGAUACCUCAAUUUAUAAGAUGAUGAACUCCCUGCAUGCUAUAACUUUAAUUUGCUUUUUUAGACUCCACAAUUUCUAUCCAUCCCUUUGUAUCUAAGUUGAAUUAUAUGAAUAGUUAGUACCUAAUAUCAAGUUUUAACCCAUUAUACUCUCAUAACUGUUAAAUAUCUAUUUUUGUAUUGUUUUCAGUCCUUCAACCAUUCCUUCAUUCAUUCUGACAUAUUAGUCCCAAACCCUAUUUUAUGGUUUAAUCUUUUGAGUGGUACCCUAUCAAAUCCCAUUUUAAAAAUUUCAAUAAUUACAUUGUGGGUUUCCUCAACCCCCCCCCCCCCACAAAUCACUGCACCUUCGUUGCCAGAUGAGUCUUGAAAAACACUGAGUUCAUCAAGCACAAUUUCACUUUAAGAAAGGUUUGUUGACUUCGUAAUAAUUUUCUAACUGUCCUUAACAAUGGGUUUUACCAUUUGGUGUAGUUCCUCACUUUUGCCUCUUGCUCCUUUCUUGAAUUGUGGUGUUGGAUUUGUUGCCUUCUAAUUUGAUAUUUCUGUUCCAGAAUCUAAUAAAUUUUUGAAGAUUAUUGGUAACUAAUGCAUUAUUUCAUCGGCCAUCACUCAUUGAACUAGUAUCCGGAGGCCUGGACUGUCCAUCCAUAACCAAGAGUUUGCAUUCCACUAUGACGAAUGGGGAAAUUAAAUUCUAGUGGUUAUUUCUGGAAUAAAAAUCAGGUUUGCAUCAAUGGUGACUUUAAGAUGAUUGGAUCAUUGUAAAAUAAAACUCUGAAAAUAUGCUGUCUUUCAGCUGUGUGACUCCUGUCUCUCCAAUUGCCUUCCAGUUCUUGAUGUAAAAUGCAUAUCAGCUGCAUCUGUGACAUCCAUGUACCUGGAGGGUGCAGGUUUUGGAUCCAGGGGAUGUCAGCCUUUGGUAUCACAUCAACAACAACAAAUUUCACAUCAUAUAUGUUAAUCAUAAUAAACCAGAUUCUGACCCCAAACUGGCUGUGAUAUUUCUGUAACUUUUGUUUUGUUUCCUAUCGUGAAGACUGAUAAAAUAUUAAUUUUAAUGUCUCAGCUUUUCUAUGUUUAAAUUACUUCAUUUUUAGCUCCAGAGAACAAUUGUUUCUUUUUGAUAUUCUUUUAAUAAACAUCUCCUCCACAAUCUCCAUCAGCACAGGUGCACGACAGGGUGGUGCUUAGCCACCUGCUCUCCUUUCUUUACAUCUAUGACUACGUGGCUAAGUACAGCUCCAAUACCAUACUCGAGUUUGCUGAUGACACCACUGUUGUGGGCCAUUUCAGAGGUGGUGAGGAGCAGCAUACAGGAGGGAGAAUGAAAUGAAAUUUUGUCUGGUGUCAUGACAACAACCUCCCACUCAAUGUCAGCAAAGCCAGGAACUGAUUGUAGACUUCAGGAAAGGGAAACUAGAGAUCCAUAAGCCAAUCCUCAUUGGAGCAUCAGAGGUGGAGAGGGUCAGUAACUUUUAAUUCCUGGGUUUUACUAUCUCAGAGGACUUGUCCUGGACCCAUCAUAGAAAUGUAAUUGCAAAGAAAGCAUGACAGUGCUUCUACUUUCUCAGGAGUCUGCGGAGAUUUGGCAUGUCAUCAAACUUCUAUAGUUGUAUAGUUGACUGGCUGCAUUACAGCCUGGUAUGGGAACACCAAUGCUUUUGUAUAGAAAAUCCUAUAAAACAUAGUUGAUUCGGUCCAGUACAUCACGAGUAAAACCCUCCCAGCAAUUGAGCACACCUACAUGAGACACUGUUAUAGGAAAGUAGCAUCCAUCAUCAAAGAUCCUUACCACCCAGGCCUUGCUCUUUUCUCACUGUUGCCAUCAGGCAGAAGGUACCAGUGCCUCAGGACUCGCACCACCAGGUUCAAGAAUAGUCACUACCCUUCAAAUGUCAGGCUGUUGAAUAAAAGAGGAUGACUACACUCAUCUGUUGAGAUGUUCCCACCUACCAAUGAACUCACUUUAAGGAUUCUUUAUCUUGUUAUUUCAUACUUUUGUUAUUAUUGCUAUUUAUGUUUGCAGUUGCACAGCUUGUUGUCUUAUAUGCUCUUGUUCUUUCAUUGAUCCUGUUUACAGUUACUAUUCUGUAGAUUUGUUGAAUAUACGCACAAGAAGAAGAAUCUUGAUUGUAUGUGGUGACCUGUAUGUACUCUGAUAAUUUUACUUUGAACUUUAUAUAGUUGUAGAAAUUGUCAAAUUAAAGAAUAUCUAUUUCUUUCUCA